CAUGCUUAACACAUGCAAGUCGAACGGUAACAGGCCCUUCGGGGUGCUGACGAGUGGCGGACGGGUGAGUAACGCGUAGGAAUCUGCCCAUUAGAGGGGGAAACCCGGAGAAAUCCGGGCUAAUACCGCAUACGCCCUACGGGGGAAAGGAGGGGAUCUCUUCGGAGACCUUCCGCUAUUGGAUGAGCCUGCGUCGGAUUAGCUUGUUGGUGGGGUAACGGCCUACCAAGGCGACGAUCCGUAGCUGGUCUGAGAGGACGAUCAGCCACACUGGGACUGAGACACGGCCCAGACUCCUACGGGAGGCAGCAGUGGGGAAUAUUGCACAAUGGGGGAAACCCUGAUGCAGCAAUGCCGCGUGUGUGAAGAAGGCCUGCGGGUUGUAAAGCACUUUCAAUUGGGAAGAAAAGGGGUUGGCUAAUACCCGACCUUCUUGACGUUACCUUUAGAAGAAGCACCGGCUAACUCCGUGCCAGCAGCCGCGGUAAUACGGAGGGUGCGAGCGUUAAUCGGAAUUACUGGGCGUAAAGCGUACGUAGGCGGUUAGAUAAGUCAGAUGUGAAAGCCCUGGGCUUAACCUGGGAACUGCAUUUGAUACUGUCAGACUAGAGUGUGGUAGAGGGAAGUGGAAUUCCGGGUGUAGCGGUGAAAUGCGUAGAUAUCCGGAGGAACACCAGUGGCGAAGGCGGCUUCCUGGACCAACACUGACGCUGAGGUACGAAAGCGUGGGUAGCAAAACAGGAUUAGAUACCCUGGUAGUCCACGCUGUAAACGAUGUCAACUAGCCGUUGGGAACUUUAUGUUUUUAGUGGCGUAGCUAACGCGAUAAGUUGACCGUCUGGGGAGUACGGCCGCAAGGUUUAAACUCAAAGGAAUUGAUGGGGGCCCGCUC
RNAcentral lists this ribosomal RNA (892 nucleotides) under uncultured bacterium. RNAcentral describes it as "bacterial SSU rRNA". It matches the Rfam family "Bacterial small subunit ribosomal RNA", at positions 43 to 926 of the family's 1533-position model. The record is from RNAcentral.